CCGCAUUGUAAAUCUUGAACCGA
This 23-nucleotide non-coding RNA is filed under the name Arabidopsis thaliana (thale cress). The record is from RNAcentral. Lineage: Eukaryota; Viridiplantae; Streptophyta; Magnoliopsida; Brassicales; Brassicaceae.